GCAAGGGCUAGGGACGUCUGGGUGGCAAGGAAGCCUUUCCCAGGAUGCGAGACGGCUUUCCACAUUUGGGCCUCCAUGGACUUAGGCUCGCAAGCGGGACGCCCCUCAGUGUCCGUUUCCGAGGCCCCAUCCCCGGAGGGUGCAGGAGAGUCUGCGCCCAGCGCGGACAGGGGCCCCGCGACCCUCGCUCGGGCUCCACUACGGCGGGCGGGCAUUGGCUGCCCAGAGGGCCCAGUCGGCUUCCGGCGGCCGCGGGCGACUCCUGGUACCCCCGAGGCCCCGCGAACUCACCUUCACAAAGCUGUCGGCGUCCGGGAAGCCUGGCAGCACCAUCUCUCCGUCGGAUUUGGUUGCGCUGGUCGCCGACAGGACCCUGGGCUCCCGGGUAAGCUCCUGAAGAAAGCGUCUAGCUCCAACUGUGCUUCCUCCCUCCAGUACCCUCUGAACUCCUCCAAGCAGACGUUGUUUCCUGCAGACAUCGCUGGAACCAUUCUGGUUAACACAGAGUGGGAACUCAGUACACAUUUGUGAAGUGAACUCCUGGAAGAGCUCUUGUGAGGGAGGCACCGAAUUAUCAGGCAGCUCAAGAGAUAGAUUCACUCUCCUGAAAUUAGAGAUGGGAUGCCCUUAAUACAAUUCAUUCCACCCAUUAAGUCUUCAAUAAAUGUUCAGCAUAUCCAGUUAAGAGAA
Molecule: long non-coding RNA, 690 nt
Organism: Homo sapiens (human)
Lineage: Eukaryota; Metazoa; Chordata; Mammalia; Primates; Hominidae
Gene: EXOSC10-AS1
Product: EXOSC10 antisense RNA 1
Source: Ensembl